GUAUUGUAUUGCGUUAAACGCGGCGUUACAUUCCACCAGACUUCAUUACUGCGUGUGUGUAAAGACGUAGAACUACAGAAGGGAACCAGAGCCCCCUAGACCGUAGAACUACAAGAGGUGCACAGGUGUGAGUGGAUGUGUAAACAGAGCGUGCACGUGCCCUCGUUUGAAGGCCAGCAACAACUCGUGUCGACAAUUCUGUAAUGAUCCUUCCGCAGGUUCACCUACGGAAA
This 233-nucleotide unclassified non-coding RNA is filed under the name uncultured fungus. Its description in RNAcentral is "sequence contains ITS1". The record is from RNAcentral. Lineage: Eukaryota; Fungi.